AGAAAAGUCCCCUAGCAGCUGUGGGGAAAAAAGCCCACCGUGCUGCAGAUUCAGCUUCCUCCAGACAGCCCUCCGCCUGUCAGGGGAGCACGAGAUGUAUUCCAGACCCUUGUUUUCAAUUCAAAGAGCUCUGCCCACUGUUCUCAGGGUAGCGUUCUGGAAGCCCAACUUAGUGAUUCAUUCCAGUGAAAUCCACAGGAUGCCCAGCCACGAUGAAUAGACUCCAAAGUGUUUCCAUCUCAUUCCUGAGGAAGCGUUUCUCUCGGAAGAGCAUCUCAGCCUCCGGCCAGUGCUCACCGCCCAGAGCCUCUUCAGGGAUACCUGAAAUAGCAGGAAAAUAGUGAGCAUUAUCCGCAGCACAGUUCCAACUUUAAAAGGGGAGAAGUUCUGACCUAUGCUACAACAUGGAUGAACCUGGAGGACAUUAUGCUGAGUGAAAUAAGCCAGCUACAAAGAGGACAAAUACUGCCUGAUUUCACUGACAUGAAGGACCUAGAGCAGUCAAGACCAUAGAGACAGAAGCCAUUUGACUCUGUGGCUCCUAACACCUACGAGAGACCUGAGAGGCCCUUGGAAAGGAGUAACUGAGAGCAGCACGGUCCCUAACCAAGAACAGACACAUGUGCAGGCCGGAUUCUGUGUUUCCAAGAUGAGAAAACUGAGGCAUGCGGAGUUUCUAUCGCUUCCCGGCGUUCACACAAUUUCACCAGGACUCAAAACCUGUGUUCCUAACCACUAGACGAUGAUGAUUGAAAAUGUCUCCAGUCUCAGGAGAACCUUCUGGAAACCAUGUUGCCUGUCUAAAAACAAAGAAGAGAAGUAAUUUGAAGCAGAAAUUCCAGCUUCCUUCUGGCUCUGCAUUUCAAGGGAAUGCUAACCCAGCUGUUUGUUUUUCUUUUUGACAGUUUGUUUUGUCUGUGAAAUAUAAACACUGAAAUUUUUCAGUAUAUGCACUGCCUCUGACAUAUUCCCUAGAGCCAUAGCAUCCAAACUUUUUUGAUCACAUACCCAUUAGCAAAUAUUUUUGAGUAUUACUCCUAAUAUAUGUGGAUUUAUUUAUAAGUGAUAUACCUAUACUACAAUAUUUAUAUAUUGUGUGCAUCCCAAACAGCAUCUAAUAAAAGGAAAACAGGAUGAAAUAAUAUUUUAAAAUAACAUUUCUUAAAAUAGUACAAAAUCAUUUUUUAUUUCAUUAAGAAAUAAUGUGAGCAAUGUUACUGAAUAUGCUUCAAAUGUCUGAUCCUAAAUUCAGCUUUUGUACAUGAUUUUAAUGGAAGCUAUAGUUAGAAAAAAAAUUCAAAAAGAUAUGUAAAUCCAAAUGAAAGAAGUACAUAGCUGGCUAUGUUUAUUAAACUAUGGUUCACAUUUUUUAAACUUCAUCUACCUAUUACACAAAAGAGUUUUUUGUGGAGAUGGGGAAAAUAUGGUUAGUAAAUUUCCAUUUCUGCUGCUGUUGAGCAAACUGCUAGAAGAUGUUGCAUUUUUGUAUUUUUAACAAACGACUUCAAGACUCACUCACAUUUUUUUAGCUAGAAAAAUUUAAAUAGGUUAGAAAACCAUGAUUCCUAGUUUUUAACUGCCACACAGAUGAAAGAUUUUAUAAAUGCCAACUUGAUAUCAUUUUCAACAACAAAAUCUUGAGAUGAUGGAAAUGUUUUUCAAACAUUUCUUUUUAAAAUCCGGUCUCCCUAGCACAAAUUUCUUUUGAAAAGUGGUUUCUUGCUUACUGUUAAACACUGUCUUUACCGUGAAGGAAUAGAUCAAGAAUGUUAAUUGUUUUAAAAAAUCUGCUAGGGAGUAUACCAUCCAUAAUUAUUUGGCAUCAGGAAAUUUGGUACAUUUCACCUUUUAUAAAACAAAUCUCAUACUUCAUUUUUCCCUUUCAAUAGAAUUCUGCUUCCAGCUUUGGUGGACUAGGUUGUUUCAGAACUACUAUUCCACUUACAACAACUAGGAAAAUGAAACAAAAUCAGUUUGAAAGUAUUGGAAAGCUACUAAGGUGGUGAGGAAUCUUGGACCAUGACCCAAGAGAGAGGUGAGCCCAAAGAGGUGAGGCGGGCAUUUAGAGCUGCUUUUCCCCUCGAGGGAAUUGCUAGUCUAAAAGGUAAUGGCUGAAAGGCUAAACAAGAUUUCCACAGACUCAGGACUCGGGGGACAAAAAUCAGAGGAGGAGACCUGGUAAAUAUUUUAGGGGCCAAACCUAGAAGUAAGAUGAACAAGAAAUAAAUCAUCCCUCUUAAGGUCUGAGGUCCAGCUUCAAAGCAUGUCAAUCUCUUUUCUGAAUUAAGGUGAUCUGCGCUUGUUAGCACCCCUGGCCUACAUACCUGCCUAAGCAAAAGUGAGUCCUCUUGGAGGAAGAUAACAAAAUCCAGAGCUUUAGAAUAGUUCUUCAAUGUCAAAAUCUCAAUACAAAAUAACCAGGGAUACAAGAAGACAAGGCAUAAUCGAAAAUCAAGAGAAAAAUGCGUGAUAGAUACAAAUGCACAAGGGACCCAAAUAAGAGUUAUCAGACGUAACCUUAAAACAUACAUGAUUACUAUGUUCAAGUAAUUAAAAGACAAGACUAAGAAUGUGGGCAGGGAACUGCAAACUGUAAAGAAUAAUCAAAUAAAAAUUUUAAAACUGAAAAAAAUAAACGAAAUUAAGAGUUCAAUGGAUGGAUUUAAUAGCAAAUUGCACACAACUUAAAAAAUUUGUAAGCUGGAAGGUAAGUCAGAAGAAAAUAUCUAGACUGAAACAUGAAGAAAUAAAAGAAUAGAAAAUAAAGAAAGGAGAUAUGCGUGAAAGGAGAGUGUGUGAUAAAUAUGGGAAAACAUCUGUAAUUAGAGUUGCAGAAGAAGAAAAGAAACAUUUGAAGAGAUAAUGACAGAAUUUUUCAUACAAAAAGUUUUUAAGCAGUUUUGUUUGUAUAAAAUUAGCUUCAUUGAUGACAUCAUUUGGCUCUGUGUAAAUUUCUGCCUUCGGUCAUUUUUGGAGCAAUAGCUCACCUAUGAAUUGUGUGGAGAAUGAAUUUCAUAUAUGGUGCUAUAUUUAUAACUCCAGAUUCCUUUAUUUAUUCAUUCUGGUCAAUGCAGCCACUCCGUUCAGUGGUAAUAUGUAUAAAAAUUUUCUAUAAACAUUGGUGUUUAGCAGCUUUAAAAUAUCACUUACUAUUAAAGCUGUGUACUCUCUGAUAAAAUUUUACAUAGAGACUCACACAAAAAAGUAGACUUUUAUAUAUUUUGUUUUUGAAACAGUCCAGGAAAUACAAAAUAUGUUGAUAUAAUUAGGAGCAUUUUACUUUUUCAUCUAACUCAUGUGUCAGCAAAGUUUUUCUGUAAAGGGCCAGCGAGUACAUAUUCUGAGCCUUAAGGGCUCUUAUAGUUUUUGUCAUAACUACUCAACUCUGCCACUGUAGCGUGAAAGGAGCCAUAGACAAUACCUAAACGGAUCAGUGUGGCCGUGUUCCAAUAACAUUUUAUUUACAAACUUUAUCAUUUUAACCAUUUUUAAGUUUAGAGUUCAGAGGUAUGAAAUACCUUCAUACUGUUGUGCAAUCGUCACCACCAUCCACCUCCACGGCUCUUUUCAUCUUGUAAAACUGACACUCUAAACCCAAACAACAAUAACACCCCAUUGCACCUUCUCCUCCGUCCCUGGCAACCACAAUUCUGCUUUUUGUCUCUGUGAUCCUGAGUACUCUAAGUAUUUCAUACAAAUGGAAUUAUGUAGUAUUUGUCCUUUUUGUGACUGGCUUAUUUCACAUAGCAUAAUGACCUGAAGGUUCAUCCAUCCUGUAGCAUAUGUCAGAAAUUCCUUCCUCUUCAAGGCUGAAUAAUAUUCCAUUGUAUGUGUAUACCACAUUUUGUUUGUCCAUUCAUCUGUCAAUGGACACAUAGGUCGCCCAUGUUUUAGCUAUUGUGAAUAACAUUGCUAUGAACACGAGUGCACAUAGUGUCUUAGAUGACCAUACAUGGAGAGGGUUGUUAUUGAGGAUAAUGGAUAGAAGUUCAUACUUCAAAUUGUCUUGAGCAGUCUCUAAUUCUCUGGGUUGACUUCAAGGCAUCGUUGUUGGAAUCUCAUGUGUCGGUCAAGGAGCUUGUACUGGCUGUCGUGGCGCUGUUACCAUUUCCUUAAUGUGACCAUGUGCUGACAUUAACAGUGUUAUCUUCAAUCUUAAUAUUCUUUGCAGGAAUCUUUUAAAGCCAUUUGUCCAUCUCAUCAUGGUUUAUUUGUUAAAACUAAACAAUAUUAUCUUUAAGUCCCUUUAAUUGGGUAUACGCAAAUGGUACUUAGUUACCCAAAGGAUAAGCCUCUGAGAUGAUGAUGAGCUUCCAGUCCGACCUCAGGACACCUUGGUUGACAUCUGUUUAAUGUGACUGACUAACAUAUAGACCUAACAGUUUUAGUAAAUAUUUGUAAAGCUUAAUUUCCUUUCAAAUUUUUAAUUAAAGAGAUGUAGAAGGUCUAUUUCCUUCUUCCCAUCCCCCAGUGAAUCAUGACUUAGCACUUGGGAGAUUGACCCUCCACUCUAACCAUGGCUCUAAAGCUUAGAGGACAUCUGAGCCAAUGGUACCCUGUUCUAUUAAAAUACUUUUCUUAUCUGAGAAGUCUAGAACAUUUAACUAUGUUCCCACAAGCUGUGUAAGCGGUAGCUCUCAGUCCUGUUGAGACAUGCACUCUCUGGAGAGUUUGAUCAAUUCUGUGGAACCCAUCAUAAAAAAGGAACAUAAAUUCUCUCUCCCUCUCUCCCUUCUUCCCUCCCUCUCUUCCUCCUUGCUUCCAUCUUUCCUUCUUUCUUUCUUUCCUCCUUUCCUUCCUUUCUUCCUUCCUCUCUCUCCCCCUCCUCCUUUCCUUCCUCUCUUGCUUCUUAGUUCAGUCAAAAAAUCUUUGGAGUCAGGGGCCUGGGUGAAGAAGAUGUGUAUGGCAUCUCUGGAGGCUGCCAGGGACCCACAUAAGGAAAUUAUGCCAAUGUGGGUAGCAUCUCAGAGGCAGGGAGAGGGCCACACAAGGAAUAUUUGCUAAGUGGGGUGGAGGAGGAUUGAGCAAAUAAGGACAUAUAUUGAGGAUAAUGGGAUCUAGGCUUCUAGAUCCUAGAAGAAAGGACUUACAAACAUGGGAAGAGGGAAAGCUAGAAUGAAAUCUGUGGUGUUGGAUUGGAAGCAGAGAUACCAAAAUGAACUCGCGUUUUUAAAAUAUGUAUACAGAUAGAUAGAUAGACACAGAAAUAAAUAUAGAUGUAAAUGUUUGUAUGUGUGUCUCCAUAUACAUACAUGUAUCCUUGGAUGUGUCCACUGAGAAGGCCUGGGAGCCCCAACCCUUCAAUAACAAUGAAGUGCCUAGUGCCCAGAUCUUGAUUUCUAAAUACCAUCCUCCUCUAAUAGGUGUUAGAGCUCAGCAGAGAAAUGGCCAGUUCAAGGCUGGGACAGGGAAAGCACAAAAUGAGUCUGGAACAUCUGUUAUGCCAGAAAGUUAAAAAGUGCUCAAAAAAUGGUGGGGACACAUCAAAAGGCACAGAAGUUAGUUUGAGGGGCUCACACCAGCCAAAUCUGGAACACCACAGCAUCAAAAUAAAUAAUGAUAAUGCUGUGUCAUAAUUCUUUGAAAAAGCCUGAGCCUACACUUACGUAACGAAAUAAAUAAUAAACAAAUGUGGAAAAGAGAAAGCUUCACCCUACAGCAGAAUGUCAACAAUAAAUGUAGAAACAGAUAUUCAAACCGUUAGGGAAAGUUUGCUGACUGAUGAAUGAAUAAAUAAAUGAGACUAUAACAGCAACAGCGAAAAGACAAUCUGGGGGAAGCCACACUCCUUGAGUGUCCACUGACCAAAGAUAGGACAAUUUGAAUAUCAAUAAAGACAAUGUCUGUAAUCGGUUACAACACAUCAAAGAGUUCAUGGAUUUAAAGAAACUUAGAAGAGUAUCAUUGGCUGCUUCUGAAGGAUUCUAGGAAACCACCCCACUGUUUUGAAAGUGGGUAAGUGAGGCGAAAGAACCAAGCCUUCCUCUCGCCUGUCCUGUAUGAUGUAAGCCUCAGGUAAGCAAAGAGUUGCUGAGAGAACUUCCCCUUCUUGGGCGUAUCUUAGGUCAUAAACAAAGAAAGAACUAGAAAAGCAUCCUUCGGCAGCCCCUGAUGAAUUAAUGGAGCCAGACAGUGAACCCUGAUCACUGCUAAUAUCACAAAAAGGGAAACAACCAUACAUUAUGCAUCUCCUGGUGGAAGCACACCACACCCCCCAGGAAGUCAGCUCGCUAGGAGAAAAUAAACCUGCCUUUGACCACGACUCUCCAUCCCACUUCCAAAAAAACCAAUUAUGAGACAAACCAGGAGACACAAACAUCAACACAGAUAUUUUUUGAUAUUAAGGAAUUACUGUUAACUGUUUUUAACUGUUGAUGAUAAUGGUAUUGCUUAUAUUUUUAGAAGCAUCUUUAUCUUUUAGAGAUGUCUAGUGAAAUAUUUAUAGGUGAAAUGAUAUAGAUUCGAUGCAAUCCUUUCAGAAUUUUCUCUGGAAUACUUGAGGUGGAGGAAAAAGUUAAAAUAUGUAUAAAUAAGAUUGGCCGGGAGCUGAUAAUCGUUGAAGAUGGGUGAUUUGCAUACUGAGUGCUUUACCGUUCUUCUUCCAUUUGCUUUGCAUAGGUUUGAAAUUUCUCAUAAUAAAACUUUUUUUUUUCAAAACUAGCAUGCUGGGGCUGGCCUGGUGGCACAGCCUGUUAAGUUCGCACUUUCCGCUUCGGCAGCCUGGAGUUGGCUGGUUUGGAUCCUGGGUGCGGACCUAUGCACUGCUCAUCAAGUCAGGCUGUGGCAGGCAUCUCACACAUAAAGUAGAGGAAGAUGGGCACAGAUGUUGGCUGAGGGUCAGUCUUCCUCAGCACCCACACACACAAAAAGAGGAGGAUGGGUGGUAGAUGUUAGCUCAGGGCUAAUAUUCCUCAAAAAAAAAAACCAAAAAAAACAAAAAAACAAAACUAGCAUGCUGUCUGAAACACAAGGCCUCAUAUGGUAUUCCCAGGGCACCAAGGCUAAGAGGAUGACUGGGGACGGAAGUCCAGCCCUGCCUGGCCUCUCUUGACAAGCCAGUUGCCUUGGAGGGCAGUGGUGUCAGCAGAAAGAAGGAGCAUGUUUUUUUUUUUAAAAAAAAAUUCAGUUAGAGAGGUCAUCUUUUUGCUAUUCCUAGUGGGAAAUCAUCCUUUAAAAAUUUGUAUAAAGGUGACUAUCAGGGGGCCUAAACACAGGUGGCAUUCAAGAGCUAGUUAGCAUCACAGCGGACAACCUCUUCUCUAAUCUGGAGAACCGCCGUGGAGCUGUGAGCGCAGCGCGGGUACCAGCAGCAGAAGCCAGGUGGUCGCUCGAUUGGAAGUCAGCCUCAUCACAGUGGCACACGCAGCAUUCAUUCUCAACGCCCCGAUUCACGCUCCAGCACUGAUGCUCGGCCUCCCACACGUUCCCACGCCGCGGGCUACAGACAGAGGACAAUGCCCGUCCACAGACUUGCUGUGUGGGGAGCCUGACUCCCCGGUUUCCUCCCUGGUGAUUUCCCGACUUGGCCUCUGCAGGAAGCAGAGCUGCUUUUCUCCCAGAGGAGGCCAAAUGUCAGAAUAGAGGAAAAGGCUGCUAGCAACCAGGGGCCCCGAAUGAGAGAGCAGGGGAAAGGCUGGACCCAAGAUCCUGAACAGAUCAUUUUCCCGGAAUGGAGAGAGAAAAAGGAAGGUUUUUCUAAAGCUGAUUCAUUUACUCCAGACACUUCUUGUCCUGAUGCCUCUGCAUUCCUUCCUGGAUCCUGUCCCCCCCCCCCCCCCCCCCCCCCCGUAGAUCCUCUUCAUUGCUAGUUCUGGAAAUCGGUGAGUGAUAGGUUAGCAUGGGGCUCAUCCCAUGGUGUCACCUAGCAACGCAAUGUUCAUAAAUAGCCACAAUCAUCUCUUCUCCAAAAAUGGCUAAAACUUCUUUUAAAGACAUCAGGAAAAAUGCUUAGCUCUUUCCGAGCUGGUGUGAAAUAUUCCCUUGUCUCAGGCCUCCGAUUCCCAGUCUUCCUCUUCAGCGUCUCAGUUUGACCUCCCAGUGUGUUUAUCGUUUAUCCUCUGCCUUUUUUUUGAAUGCACAUUUCCUUCUCCGGGGUCACAUAACAGCUGUUCAUGUAAAAGCCGCCCAGUAGUUCUGUGAACUCCAUUCAGCUCCAAAACAACUCAAAAGCCAAAAACAUUCCUAUUUAAUCCUCAUCCCUUGCACUUUGGAAGAAUUCAAACUAAAAGUCAUAGAAUUCUAAGGCUAAGAAAGAAUUACUUCUAGGUAAGCUAAGACAGUACUAAUCAGAUAAAAGUUUUACACUUUUAUUAAAAGUUGAAAUAUACGAGAACAAAGAGGGUCCCUUUAACUAAACCAAUAUCUAGCACACCUUAAUUAACUCAUAAAUCCAACAUACAUAUUUUGGGCAUCUACUGUAUCUCAAAUACUGUGCUGGGUAAUGAUACAAAGAUGAAUAAGGUUAUGCCAUUGUAGGGUUCACAGUGUGGGGAGAAACGGCAGGAAAUUCUCGUGGCAGAUGGACUAAACAGCAUUCAGGACAAACCACAGUCCUCUAAUUCUAAAGAUGGAGAGUCACAGACAAACAGCGUUCAGAUGAAAACCACGAGGAUCCAGCAAAACGUCAGCAUUUUAUAACAGAACUGAGUCUUAGGUUCUUGGCUUGAGCAAAGGGAUGCAUGCUGGGGCCAGGUACCGCGCCGGGAGGACUGGGAGGGACAGGAGUCCUGUUUGGGCCGUGUUGAGUUUGAGUUGUCCAGUAGAUGUUCAUAUCAAUCAGGAGCAGGCAGGAAACAGAUGUGCACCCAAACCGGAGCACUGAAGAGAGUUGAAUGAAGAGACCGUAAGAAGCGCACAGGCAAGGAGACUAACAAGCAGUGCU
RNAcentral lists this long non-coding RNA (8881 nucleotides) under Equus asinus (donkey). RNAcentral describes it as "lncRNA (ENSEASG00005028479.1)". The record is from RNAcentral. Lineage: Eukaryota; Metazoa; Chordata; Mammalia; Perissodactyla; Equidae.